RNAcentral lists this ribosomal RNA (120 nucleotides) under Jaculus jaculus (lesser Egyptian jerboa). The record is from RNAcentral. Lineage: Eukaryota; Metazoa; Chordata; Mammalia; Rodentia; Dipodidae.
GCCGGCAACUAUACUAUCCUGAACGUGCACAGUCUCGUCUGAUCUCGGAAACUAAGCAGGGUCAGGCCUUGGUAGCACUGGGAUGGGAGAAGAAAGCAAAGGAGAGAGUCGUGGUUGAGA